CCCUCCUUCCAGACCCUGGCAGCCACCAUUCUACUCUUUGCCUCUAUGAAUUUGACUAUUGUAGAUAGCUCAUGAGUCUCCAUGGGAUACUUGCCUCCGCAGGCACCAUAGGAGCAGUGGCAGCUUGGCUGAUGAGCUAUAAGCCAGCCUUGUUUGGGUUCCUAUUCCUUCUGCUGUUGCUUAGCAACUGGUUGGUCAAGUAUGAACACAAGCUCACCCUCCCAGAGCCCCAGCAGGUGAGCACAAGAGGGGGCUUGGCUUCAGCUCAGGGAUAGGGGAUAUUUGCAGCUAGAUUAGGUGGGUAGGGAACAGGGUAGGUGUCGAAAUAAUGGGGCAAGACUGGGGAAUCCAAGACUGGUCUAAACCACCACUCUACAGCUUCCUCUUAGGUGGUGCUGGGUAAAUCACUUCCCUCCACGAGGCCUCAGUUGCCUCACCUCAGCUGUUAAAUCAGGACCACCCCAGACUCUCCUAUUUCAUGUUUGAUGUCAACAUGCUUUGGCAAGAGUAACAACUACUUUAAUGUGAAAAAAAUUUAAAAAAUUAACAUGGACGAACAUAGAUACGUAUCUAAAAUAGAAUAAUGAAGACAGCAGAAAUGUACAUAGAUUAUGACAUCUUUCAUUUAAUGUUAAAAAACAUGCUAGGCUGGGCGCAGUGGCUCACGCCUGCAAUCCCAGCACUUUGGGAGGCCGAGGCAGGUGGAUCACUUGAAGUCAGGAGUUCAAGAUCAGCCUGGCCAACAUGGUAACACCCCGUCUCUACUAAAAAUACAAAAAUUAGCUGGGUGUGGUGACACACACCUGUAAUACCAGCUACUCAGGAGGCUGAGGCAGGAGAAUCACUUGAACCCAGGGGACUGAGGUUGCAGUGAGCUGAGAUCAUGCCACUGCACUCCAGCCUGGGCAACAGAGCAAGCUUCCAUCUAAAAACAAAAAUAAAAAGCAAAACAUGCAAAACAGCCUGGCGCAGUGGCUCACAGCUAUAAUCCCUGCACUUUAGGAUGCUGAGGCAGGUCAACGACCACUUGAGGCCAGGAGUUUGAGAAUAGCCCGGGCAACAUGAGGAAACCCCAUCUCUAAAAAAAAUACAAAAAUGAGCCAGGCAUGGUGGUGCGUGCCUGUAGUCUCAGCUACUCAGGAGACUGAGGUGGGAGAAUCACCUGAGCCCGAGAAGUUGAGGCUGCAGUGAGCAUGCCACUGUACUACAGCCUGGAUGACAUAGUGAGACUCUGUCUCAAAAAAAAAAAAAAAAAAAGGCAAAACAAUAGCCUAUCUUAUUUAUGGAUGUGUAUGUGCAGUGAAAGUAUUUUAAGGCAGGAUGCCUCAACCUUGGCACUAUUGACAUUUUGGGCCAGAUAAUUCUCCAUUGUGGGAGGCUCGCCUGUCACCUGUGCAUUGUUAGCUUAGCGGCCACCCCGGCCCCUACCCAUGAGAUGCCAAGUAGCACACCUGCCAUUUCAUGACAAUCCAAAGUAUUUCCAGAUAUUGCCAAAUGUCCCCUGGGGAAGGCAGAAUGCCUCCCAUUGAGAACUACUUUAUAAAGAAAUGCAUGGAAAAAUAAAUUUUAAAUGCAGGAUUACAGUUAAGGUGAUGAUAUUCAGGGAGGGAGGAGGAUGCUGUGGGUGUGAGAGUCCACAGGGAACUUUAGUUAUAUUUGUGAUAUUUUAUUUCUUAAGUUGAAAUGGGAAUAUGAGUAUUUGUUGUAUUAUUUACCUUUUUGCAUGCCUGAUAUGUUGAAUUUUUUCAGUUAACCAUUUUUUUUUUUUAUGUAUUUAGUUUUUUGAGACAGGGUCUCGCUCUGUGGCCCAGGCUGGAUGCAGUGGCACAACCGUGGCUCACUGCAGCCUCGACCUCCCUGGGAUCAGGUGAUCCUUCCACCUCAGCCUCCCAAGUAGCUGGGACUACAGGUGUGCACAGGGCUAAUUUUUUCUAGUUUUUGUGGAGACGGGAUUUUACCAUGUUUCCCAGGCUGGUUUCAAACUCCUGGGCUCAAGCGAUCCUCCUGCCUCGGCCUUCGAAGGUGCUGGGAUUACAGCCAUGAGCCACCACACCUGGCUUAAUUUUUAAAUAUUUUUAAAGACCAUUAGUUUGUAGCUGAAUCCAAAAAGAAAAAAAAAUAAGUGUUAUUAACCAGGGGAAGGAGAGAUGAGGAUCAUAGAGAUAAAAGCAUGUCAUGAGACCACUGAGACUUCGCAGUUUGAGAUCGUACUGAGCCUGACAAAAUGCUCAGAGAGGCAUGUUGGAAAAACGGGCUCUGGAGAUAGAUAUAUUUAGGCUAAGGGCUUUAUGUCCACUGUGACUGGCAGAUUAGCGGGCCAUCUCAUGCAUUCCUAUGAACCAAAGGCAAGUGGAGGACUCGGGAAUUUGAGGCUGUAUGAUGCUGAGAAAGUGACCUCCCAGCUGGGCCUGGUGGCUCACACCUGUAAUCCCAGCACCUUGGGAGGCCAAGGCAGGCAGAUCACCUGAGGUCGGGAGUUCGA
Molecule: long non-coding RNA, 2482 nt
Filed under: Pan troglodytes (chimpanzee)
Lineage: Eukaryota; Metazoa; Chordata; Mammalia; Primates; Hominidae
Description: long non-coding RNA NONPTRT000899
Source: RNAcentral